AGAGUGACGCCGACGGCAAUAUAUAUCAGCUUAAAUUUGAUACAGUGGAUAUUAACGGCACCGAGGACAUUGUAGCCAAGGGCUUGAAAGAUUUUCCCUCUAAGGGUGACGCGGACGGCAAUAGUAAUGAAGGUAAAUCUGAUACAGAGGAUAUUGACGGUAUUCAUGACAUUGUAACCAACAGCUUGGAGAAUUCUGACUCUAAUG
This is a long non-coding RNA of Mercenaria mercenaria, 207 nucleotides long. RefSeq lists it as uncharacterized. The transcript has 4 exons. The record is from RefSeq and is a predicted model, not a curated record. Lineage: Eukaryota; Metazoa; Mollusca; Bivalvia; Venerida; Veneridae.